CGCAGCGACAGAGCAUGGCAGUUGUAACGCAGUUUGUGUGAUUCCGUGUGCGUUAAUGAAACUAAAACCAUGCUUAUAGUCACCAAUACUGCAUCUGCCACAAUUAUAAGUGCAUAUCUGGCUGUACCACAGUUGGAUUUAUCAUGGCAAGCCCUGCUGUAACCAGUUCUUCUGUGAAGUUUCAUUAAAGACAGUGAACUAAAAA
Oreochromis niloticus (Nile tilapia) is the source of this 205-nucleotide long non-coding RNA. RefSeq lists it as uncharacterized. The record is from RefSeq and is a predicted model, not a curated record. The transcript has 2 exons. NCBI's taxonomy places the organism in Eukaryota, Metazoa, Chordata, Actinopteri, Cichliformes, Cichlidae.